ACGGUACCUGCAGAAAAAGCGCCGGCUAACUACGUGCCAGCAGCCGCGGUAAUACGUAGGGCGCAAGCGUUAUCCGGAAUUAUUGGGCGUAAAGAGCUCGUAGGCGGUUUGUCGCGUCUGCUGUGAAAUCCCGAGGCUCAACCUCGGGCCUGCAGUGGGUACGGGCAGACUAGAGUGCGGUAGGGGAGAUUGGAAUUCCUGGUGUAGCGGUGGAAUGCGCAGAUAUCAGGAGGAACACCGAUGGCGAAGGCAGAUCUCUGGGCCGUAACUGACGCUGAGGAGCGAAAGGGUGGGGAGCAAACAGGCUUAGAUACCCUGGUAGUCCACCCCGUAAACGUUGGGAACUAGUUGUGGGGUCCAUUCCACGGAUUCCGUGACGCAGCUAACGCAUUAAGUUCCCCGCCUGGGGAGUACGGCCGCAAGGC
RNAcentral lists this ribosomal RNA (425 nucleotides) under uncultured Actinomycetes bacterium. Its description in RNAcentral is "bacterial SSU rRNA". It matches the Rfam family "Bacterial small subunit ribosomal RNA", at positions 472 to 894 of the family's 1533-position model. Lineage: Bacteria; Bacillati; Actinomycetota; Actinomycetes. The record is from RNAcentral.